GACGAACGCUGGCGGCGUGCCUAACACAUGCAAGUCGAACGGAACGGCCCUGCUUCCGUGGGCUGCCCCAGAGGGGAACGGGGGUGUAACACGAGAGUAACCUGCCCACGACUGUGGGAUACCUUCAGGAAACUGAGGCCAAUACGGGACAGGAGCUCCUGCUGCAUAACGAGGGUUGGCGCGUUGCGGCGGUGGGGGAUGGACCCGAGGUUCAGCAGCUGGUUGGGGAGGUAGCGGCUUACCAAGGCGUUGGGGGGUAGCCGGCCUGAGGGGGUGACCGGCCACAUUGGGACUGCGGUACGCACCAGUAGCCUAUGGGCGGCAGUGGUGGGAAAUAUUACACAACGGGCGGAAGCCUGAUGCAGAAACGCCGCGUGCGGGAUGACGGCCUUCGGGUUGUGAACCUCUUUCGCCUUUGACGAAGCGUUUGUGACGGUAAUUAGUAAAGAAGCACCGGCUAACUACGUG
Molecule: ribosomal RNA, 468 nt
Filed under: uncultured bacterium
Lineage: Bacteria
Description: partial 16S ribosomal RNA
Rfam family: Bacterial small subunit ribosomal RNA
Source: RNAcentral